Molecule: ribosomal RNA, 471 nt
Filed under: uncultured eukaryote
Lineage: Eukaryota
Description: partial 18S ribosomal RNA
Rfam family: Eukaryotic small subunit ribosomal RNA (bases 82-471)
Source: RNAcentral
UUCUAGCAUAUAUUAAAAUUGCUGGUAAGUAGUUACUGAUAGAAAUUCGUGCUUUUGUAGUAAAUGCUAAAAUUCUUCUCUUUACAGCAGUUAAAACGCUCGUAGUUUGAAUUAUUUUCUUUCUUGCUGUUGUGCGGGAUAAAAAGUCGCGCGCAAGUGGCAAAGGGAAGAAAUUUUUAAGAACGAGGCGCAUUGGGGCUCUUUAAUUAGGGCCCCCGCCAGAUAACCAUGAACAAAAAUUAUUGCUCAAAGAAGGGCUUUUAAGUCUGUUGAGAUUUCAGCAUGGGAUUAUGGAAAAGGGGGAGGACGGAGAGGCAGGGGGCGCGGAGACGUGUGCCCUGCUUUGGCCGUCUUCUCAAUGGUUAAUGUGGACGAUUCGUGGAAGUUCAUAUUGGGGAGGGAGAGGUGAAAUUCUUGGAUUUCCCCAAGAUGAACAUCAGCGAAGGCAUUCUUCAAGGGCGUGCCAGUCAA